UUUUUAGCCAAAAUAGACCAAAGAGACAAAAUAAAUAUCUAUUAGUCAAACAGAAUGUCACACAGAAUGUCAAAGCAGAUUGUUAAGUGUUAUAGAUCCCAGAACACACACAACUAUAUAAGUUGAGAUAAAAAUCCAGAAAAACCAAAAAGAACCCAGAAAAAAAAUACAUCAAGGUAACAGAACAUGACUACCAAAAGAAACACCAG
RNAcentral lists this long non-coding RNA (209 nucleotides) under Lathyrus oleraceus (garden pea). RNAcentral's name for it is "Pisum sativum (pea) long non-coding RNA (PSAT_LNC020304)". The record is from RNAcentral. Lineage: Eukaryota; Viridiplantae; Streptophyta; Magnoliopsida; Fabales; Fabaceae.